GAUGAACGCUGGCGGCGUGCUUAACACAUGCAAGUCGAACGGAAAGGCCGAAGCUUGCUUCGGUACUCUAGUGGCGAACGGGUGAGUAACACGUGUGUGAUCUGCCCUGUACUUCGGGAUAAGCUUGGGUAACUGGGUCUAAUACCGGAUAUGACGAUCUCUUGGAUGGGGUUGUGGAAAGCUUUUGCGGUUUGGGAUGAGCUCGCGGCCUAUCAGCUUGUUGGUGGGGUAAUGGCCUACCAAGGCGUCGACGGGUAGCCGGCCUGAGAGGGUGUACGGCCACAUUGGGAGUGAGAUACGGCGCAGACGAGGAAGGGAGGCAGAAGUGGGGAAUAUUGCACAAUGGGGGCAAGCGUGAUGCAGCGAGGAGGCGGGGGGGAUGACGGCGUUAGGGUUGUAAACACAAAUGGAAAUAGACGAAGCCAUUUGGUGACGGUAGGUUGAGAAGAAGCACCGGCUAACUACGUG
Molecule: ribosomal RNA, 468 nt
Filed under: uncultured bacterium
Lineage: Bacteria
Description: partial 16S ribosomal RNA
Rfam family: Bacterial small subunit ribosomal RNA
Source: RNAcentral